Neofelis nebulosa (Clouded leopard) is the source of this 669-nucleotide long non-coding RNA. RefSeq lists it as uncharacterized. NCBI's taxonomy places the organism in Eukaryota, Metazoa, Chordata, Mammalia, Carnivora, Felidae. The record is from RefSeq and is a predicted model, not a curated record. The transcript has 4 exons.
CACAAGACUGCUUGCUGGAUUUCAGCUAGAAAGUAUAACCCAGUAGCUGCUGGCAGCCCUCUUGCGACAAUAAGAUAUCUGGAAACAAGAGGUGAGAAGGAUUAUUCAUGGCGAAUUUGAUGGAACAAGGUUAAUUCAGUAUGAAUGAAAUGUCAUGUAUGAAGAACUAAAAUAAUUCAGUAUGAAUAAAGAAAAAGUGAACAGGAUGUAGAGGGGCAGUGAUCCCACAGUCUCCUGGGCCCUCCUCACCCCACAUGGGGGCCCUCCCAUGAUGCCAAUGAUGGGCCCUCUUCCUCCUGGGACAAUGCCAGCGGGACCUCCUGGAAUGAGGUGGCGCACCAGAGGCCACGUGCCAGUGACGCCUGGGCCCCCGCUGAUGACUUCCCACCGUCCCAUCAUGGUGCCCACUCAGCCAGGAAUGACUCAAGCAGACAGCUUUGCAGCAGCAGUUUACAAGUUUGUACACAGGUGGUAACUUCUGCUAAGGACGUCUCUUUGGCUUUGAAGAGACUUAAAUAAACUUCAGAAGAGAGAAGGCACAGCCAGCUGCUUAUGAUUAGCUAAAGGUUUUUUGUUUUGUCUUGUUUUUUAGUUGUGGUAAAAUAUACAUAACAUAAAACUUACGAUUUUAACUAUUUUUAAGUGUACAAUUAGGUGGCAAUGAGUACA